UACAGAGGGUGCGAGCGUUAAUCGGAAUUACUGGGCGUAAAGCGCGCGUAGGCGGCUUUGCAAGUCGGGUGUGAAAUCCCCAGGCUUAACCUGGGAACUGCAUUCGAGACUGCAUCGCUAGAGUAUCGGAGAGGGAAGUGGAAUUUCAGGUGUAGCGGUGAAAUGCGUAGAUAUCUGAAGGAACAUCAGUGGCGAAAGCGACUUCCUGGACGAAUACUGACGCUCAUGUGCGAAAGCGUGGGGAGCAAACAGG
This 253-nucleotide ribosomal RNA is filed under the name uncultured bacterium. RNAcentral describes it as "partial 16S ribosomal RNA". It matches the Rfam family "Bacterial small subunit ribosomal RNA", at positions 524 to 776 of the family's 1533-position model. The record is from RNAcentral.